AUAUCUCUUGGAUCACAAACGGUUUCUAGAACUCAUUUGUUUAUUUGCUCUGUUCCAAGUCCCAGAAAUAAAAAUGAACUUCCCAUAGGAACCACCUGCUCUUCAGUGAUCUUUAAUCCAUCCACCCUUGUCAAAGCGUUUGAAAAGGAGAAGACGGAAGACUCACCAUUUGAUUGCUGUACCAGUAUAGCGACGUUCCCUUCAGCACCACCCAGAACUUUUUCCAUUUGUUGCUCAGGAAAGUUCCUUUUUCUUUUUUCUUAUAUAGCCAACCUUGGCAGUCAGCAUGUCCCAGGUCUUUACAGGAUAUCCUCCUCCGACUCAUCGUGAAAAAACCUGCAACAAUUAUAUGAAGAGCCAGCUUUCUAAUGUAAAAUAAGAAGAGCUGAUAGAGGAUGAUGGAAGACAAAAAGAAAAAAUUCAUCUCUAAUUCUUCCAAUUUAUCUAUUCUAG
This is a long non-coding RNA of Canis lupus familiaris (dog), 453 nucleotides long. RefSeq lists it as uncharacterized. NCBI's taxonomy places the organism in Eukaryota, Metazoa, Chordata, Mammalia, Carnivora, Canidae. The transcript has 3 exons. The record is from RefSeq and is a predicted model, not a curated record.